Molecule: ribosomal RNA, 292 nt
Filed under: uncultured eukaryote
Lineage: Eukaryota
Description: partial 18S ribosomal RNA
Rfam family: Eukaryotic small subunit ribosomal RNA
Source: RNAcentral
GGUUGAUCCUGCCAGUAGUCAUAUGCUUGUCCCAAAGAUUAAGCCAUGCAUGUCUAAGUUUAAGCACCGAGUGUGAAACUGCGAAUGGCUCAUUAAAUCAGUUAUAAUUUACUUGAUAGUCAAACUUAUCAUUGGAUAACCGUGGUAAUUCUAGAGCUAAUACAUGCAAAAAGCCUGACGUGAGGAGGGCUGUAUUUAUUGGAUACGAAACUGAUGGCAGCGAUGCCUUGGUGAUUCACAAUAACUUUACGGAUCGUAUGGCCUUGGAGCUGACGACGUAUCAUUCAAAUUU